AGCAGCCGCGGUAAUUCCAGCUCCAAUAGCGUAUAUUAAAGUUGUUGCAGUUAAAAAGCUCGUAGUUGAAUUUCGGGAUCAAGGAAUCGGUCAUGCCUCGGUAUGUACUGGUUUUAUUGGUUCUCACCUUCUAAAGAACCAUAAUGUCAUUCAUUUGGUGUUAUGGGGAAUUAGGACUGUUACCUUGAAAAAAUUAGAGUGUUUAAAGCAAGCUUACGCUUGAAUACAUUAGCAUGGAAUAAUGAAAUAGGACAUCCGAUUCUAUUUUGUUGGUUUCUAGGAUCGAUGUAAUGAUUAAUAGGGAUAGUUGGGGGCAUUAGUAUUCAAUUGUCAGAGGUGAAAUUCUUGGAUUUAUUGAAGACUAACUACUGCGAAAGCAUUUGCCAAGGAUGUUUUCAUUAAUCAAGAACGAAAGUUAGGGGAUCGAAGACGAUCAGAUACCGUCGUAGUCUUAACCAUAAACUAUGCCGACUAGGGAUCGGAUGAUGUUUAUUUUUUAGUGACUCAUUCGGCACCUUACG
RNAcentral lists this ribosomal RNA (521 nucleotides) under uncultured Glomeraceae. Its description in RNAcentral is "SSU rRNA". It matches the Rfam family "Eukaryotic small subunit ribosomal RNA", at positions 569 to 1092 of the family's 1831-position model. Lineage: Eukaryota; Fungi; Glomeromycota; Glomeromycetes; Glomerales; Glomeraceae. The record is from RNAcentral.